Pyrus x bretschneideri (Chinese white pear) is the source of this 196-nucleotide long non-coding RNA. RefSeq lists it as uncharacterized. The transcript is spliced from 3 exons. NCBI's taxonomy places the organism in Eukaryota, Viridiplantae, Streptophyta, Magnoliopsida, Rosales, Rosaceae. The record is from RefSeq and is a predicted model, not a curated record.
CCAGUUUCCGGCGACCUCAGUGACUUUCGAGGUGUUUUCCAGCCAAACCACGGAGAGUUAGAUGUCGUGUGAGGUGCUUAGGGGCAAUUAUUGAUGGCGUUUCCUUCUUCGCUAGAUGACGUGGCUUUCGACGGCGAGGACUUAGAAUCGAGGCAUACAAUCCCGACGUCCAGGCACUUCCGCAUCGGCAUCUUCG